UCAAUAUAUCUAUUUUGGAGGACACAAUUCAGCCAAAAACCAUAGCCUACCUUGAUGUUUAAAUAUUUUCUCAACUUACAACAAAGACUACUCUCUCUUGUUCUGUGGGUCGGCAUGUGGAAGUUCUGUAACUAGAGCAAUAACAAGAUUCAAACAAAUGGCAAAGCAAAGCGGCUGGAUAGGUUAAACAGUGGUGGGGCUUUAGAAACUUCUGCUUGGCCACUUCCCCUUGCGCAGGCCUGCUCAACCUCCUCUUCCGGUUUCCCUGAAAGAAGUGGGAAUCUGAUUUGGACUUUGAGCCGAGGUUUCUCUUUUCUAAGCUCUCCUCCAGCACAGGGACUCAUCUGAGCUGCCCUCCCUUUCUGUAAUAGUGGCUCUCACCCGGGAUAAAAACUUACCCUCACCACUGACGGAGGGGGAAGUGCUGGAAAAUGUGUCAACACAGGUACUGUUGGUUGCCCAAUAGCAAUUCACACUCAUUAUUGUACAGUCAUGAUAUAAGACUGAAAGUGACAUUUAAGUGUUUUGAGAUCCUAAGAUGAAAAGUAAUUGAAAAGAGUAGUUGUUGGGAUUGGAUUGUCAUAGCAUUUUCUUUAUUCAAUCAGAGCAUAUUUGGGUUAAUGAACAUCUUAGUUUCUCCUAAUUUUCUGGAUAAUAGUCAUAACAAACCCAAUACAGUUCUCGUCCUCCAGGGCUUACACAUUGACGCGAUUAAUCACCUUUCAUUUCCAUAGCUCUUCUCCUGCCCCAGCCAAUUCUCAUGUCAGCCUCCUAAGUCAGCGCAACACGUAUGAAGAGCACGUGAGAAAAAUGACGAGGUUCAAAGAGUGGGGGGCCCCCCAGGUGGUCUCUGGGGGCACCAGGGCCGGGGGCUCCAGCCCGUGGCUCCCCUCCCUUCAGUUGCGGCCAGCUCCUUGCACAAACUGGUGGUACACUACAUGUGGAUUUCAUUUACGGGUUGGACUAGUUUCCAGCGUCUUGUUUGAAUGUUCUGUUUCUUAUUUUUAUUUUCCAGUUUUUCUAGUUGGGUAAGGCUGGGUAGAUCAGAUGGAUCAGAGGAGCUAUCUCUCACCUGUCCCACUCUGACUACAAAUCUUCCCUCGCAGAUUUAGAAGAGGAGAAUGGCGUUCUCACACAAUACAGAACUCCAGUGAUGGGUCUGAGAAGGUCUUAAAAAGCAAUUAUUCUCUACGUGGUCAUUAUUCUCUAACAACUCAACAGAGACCAAGCUAAAGUUUACGUCUGUUAAAACAAUUUUUUUCUAAUAAAGUAUAAAUCGUGUAAAAAAAAA
Non-coding RNA from Equus caballus (horse), 1291 nucleotides. NCBI's taxonomy places the organism in Eukaryota, Metazoa, Chordata, Mammalia, Perissodactyla, Equidae. The record is from RefSeq and is a predicted model, not a curated record.